ACGUAGGUGGCAAGCGUUGUCCGGAUUUAUUGGGUUUAAAGGGUGCGUAGGUGGCCCUGUAAGUCAGUGGUGAAAUAUCUCAGCUUAACUGAGAGGGUGCCAUUGAUACUGCAGGGCUUGAGUACAGAUGAGGUAGGCGGAAUUGACGGUGUAGCGGUGAAAUGCAUAGAUAUGUCACCGAACACCAAUUGCGAAGGCAGCUUACUAAA
Molecule: ribosomal RNA, 209 nt
Filed under: uncultured prokaryote
Description: partial 16S ribosomal RNA
Rfam family: Bacterial small subunit ribosomal RNA
Source: RNAcentral